GCCCCGGUAGCUCAACUGGACAGAGCAGCCGCCUUCUAAGCGGCAGGUUGAGGGUUCGAGUCCCCCCCGGGGUG
Molecule: transfer RNA, 74 nt
Filed under: Phycisphaerales bacterium
Lineage: Bacteria; Pseudomonadati; Planctomycetota; Phycisphaerae; Phycisphaerales
Description: tRNA-Arg
Rfam family: tRNA
About the family: Transfer RNA (tRNA) molecules are approximately 80 nucleotides in length. Their secondary structure includes four short double-helical elements and three loops (D, anti-codon, and T loops).
Source: RNAcentral